Long non-coding RNA from Eptesicus fuscus (big brown bat), 1060 nucleotides. RefSeq lists it as uncharacterized. Lineage: Eukaryota; Metazoa; Chordata; Mammalia; Chiroptera; Vespertilionidae. The record is from RefSeq and is a predicted model, not a curated record. The transcript is spliced from 2 exons.
AGGCGGGCGACUGCGGGGCCGCUGCCGGGGGCGGCGGGGGCGGGCCGGUCCCCGCCCCUCGGGGCUCCGCCGGGGCUCGGCGUGGCGGCUUCCGCCCGCCGCCGGAAGAAGCUCUCGCCGUCGCGCGCUGGGUUCUGUGUUCCUGUUCGUGAAGAAAGAAAAAGCGGGCUCUCCUGGGCUGUCGGGAGAUGGCGAACCUCAGCGGCCAGGGUUCUCCUCCUUCGGGGGCUGCUGCUCCGUGUGCUCCGCUCGCCCGCGGCCGGGGGAGAAAAAGAGCCGCUGUGACCCCGACGUGACUUGAACACGCAACCUUCUGAUCUGGAGUCAGACGCGCUACCAUUGCGCCACGAGGUCCUGGCGGGCGGGUGGCUCCGCUUCAUUGAAGUCCUUACUGCGCCGCAGGGCCGGCUGGAGCCGGCGGAACGCGCGGCCCCUCCCGGAUUCGGUGCACGCUGACGGGGAGGAGAGCACCUUUUCCCGUGCCUGCUGUUCGCCGGUCUGUCUUCUUUGGGGAAAUGUCUGCUUAACGCCUCUGCCAGUUUAAAAAUCAGGAUGAGUUGCUGAACCACUGGACGUGACAAUGGCUGUGCAGCAGCAUUAACACUCCACAGACAAGACAUGGAAACCAACUGAAGUAGACAAGUGUCACAAACAAAAGGACGAUUGAAGCUGGAACGGGCGUAGAGCCAGGGGGCCCAGAACCUAGGUGCGUUUGUUUUGGAGAGUUGGGUCCGUGUCCUUCCAGCUCAGUCACACUGUUCUCUUCGUGUCCUUCCAGCUCAGUCACACUGUUCUCUUCGCCCUGGGGUCCCUAUGUAGGCCUGACUAUGUGCUAUAGCAUGAACUCCCCUCGACUGACUAAGAGCAAAUCAAAGACCACAUGACUGCUUUAGUUAACAGUUUUUAGUUUGCUGGGCCUUGGGAACUAAAGCGACAUUUAUGACUUAUGAAGGUUAGAGACAGCUUUGAGCCAUCUUUUCUAGUUGUUUUAUUCCACUUGUGGGAAUUGUUUUUUGUGGGGUAUGCAUGGAAAGGGAAUAAAUUAUCCUCUCUAGAAAUU